Long non-coding RNA from Quercus robur (English oak), 730 nucleotides. RefSeq lists it as uncharacterized. The record is from RefSeq and is a predicted model, not a curated record. The transcript is spliced from 3 exons. NCBI's taxonomy places the organism in Eukaryota, Viridiplantae, Streptophyta, Magnoliopsida, Fagales, Fagaceae.
ACUGACGGACGGUAAAGGAAGGCAUGGUGUGUGUGUGAGAGAGAGUUUUACAUCAAUGGCCAGCAAAUCUAUGUACCAAUAGAUUUACAGUGGAGAUCUUUUAUCCAUCUGAGAAAGUAGCCCUUCAUCAUGGAUUUUGUCUUUCUUAGCUAGCUUAGCUAUAGGUCAUGUACCAUUGCCACUAGUCCAUUCAUCAUUCAGCUCAAAUUCAUAUAUAAAUCAUACAAUUCGUGGGUCAUGAAAGUUGAAACACCAAAGUGCAGGGGCACCACAGAGAGAGAGAGGCAAGCAGUGCUUGGUGGAGAAAGUUAAGAAAUUCGUGAAAGUUAUGGAAGGUGGCAGUUCAAACAUUUUCGCAGCUACGAAAACACCGGACUUGGAGGUGCUACGUAAGCAGCUUGAGGAGAAAAGUGCAAAGAUUGAAGAGCUCAAGAAACAAAUUGAGGAAACUAAGCAUCUUCUGGAAAAUAAGAAGAAGAAAGCUCCGAAUCAGGACCAAAUGGAAGCUUUCAAGAAGUUGUGCGAGAAAUAUAAUGGCAUAAGAGAGGAAUAUAAUGCAUUGUUGGCCGAGAAGUCAAGGAAACAAGAGACUAACAAUCCUAUCUAGUCUCAAAAUUGCUGCUAUAUAUAGACGACUUAGCUAGCAAGCUAGCUAGCAAAAAUACUAGUAUGCUUUAUUAGUAAUUAUCAUAUGCUUUCUUUUAAAAAGGAGAGGUGGAAGUUAUGUGGG